CUUUACCUUUACAUUGGAUGCUCCUUUUUAAGAUAAUGAGAGUAUUACCUGACAAAGCAUUGAAGUGCGUAACAGAUUUCAUCGAUUCUGGUGUCUACCCAGAUGAUUAAAAAGUAAUAAAAUAAUUAAAAAUUUAUAAAUUUUAUUUUAUAGAUUAUUAUAUUACUUCAAAAAAUGUGUCAAUUCUUAUUUUUAUUGUUUAUGUGAUAUAACCAACAACGGCAACAACUACUUUUUAUAUAAAAUAAAUGUUUGAGACUAUUAUAAACUUAAA
This is a long non-coding RNA of Wasmannia auropunctata (little fire ant), 274 nucleotides long. RefSeq lists it as uncharacterized. The transcript has 2 exons. The record is from RefSeq and is a predicted model, not a curated record. Lineage: Eukaryota; Metazoa; Arthropoda; Insecta; Hymenoptera; Formicidae.